RNAcentral lists this ribosomal RNA (222 nucleotides) under uncultured bacterium. RNAcentral describes it as "partial 16S ribosomal RNA". It matches the Rfam family "Bacterial small subunit ribosomal RNA", at positions 524 to 743 of the family's 1533-position model. The record is from RNAcentral.
UACGUAGGUGACCAGCGUUGUCCGGAUUUACUGGGCGUAAAGAGCGCGCAGGCGGUCGUUCAAGUCGAGUGUGAAAGCCCCCCGGCUCAACUGGGGGAGGGUCACUCGAUACUGAUCGACUUGAAGGCAGGAGAGGGAAGCGGAAUUCCCGGUGUAGUGGUGAAAUGCGUAGAUAUCGGGAGGAACACCAGUGGCGAAGGCGGCUUCCUGGCUGUUCCUUUG